This 406-nucleotide ribosomal RNA is filed under the name uncultured bacterium. RNAcentral's name for it is "partial 16S ribosomal RNA". It matches the Rfam family "Bacterial small subunit ribosomal RNA", at positions 30 to 526 of the family's 1533-position model. The record is from RNAcentral.
AUUGAACGCUGGCGGCAGGCCUAACACAUGCAAGUCGAACGAGUGGCGGACGGGUGAGUAAUGUCUGGGCAACUGCCCGAUGGAGGGGGAUAACUACUGGAAACGGUAGCUAAUACCGCAUACCAUCGGAUGUGCCCAGAUGGGAUUAGCGAGUAGGUGGGGUAACGGCUCACCUAGGCGACGAGCCCUACCUGGGCUGAGAGGAUGACCAGCCACCCUGGAACGGAGACACGGUCCAGACGACUACGGUAGGCAGCAGUGGGUAAUAUUGCACAAUGGGCGCAAGCCUGAUGCAGCCAUGCCGCGUGUAUGAAGAAGGCCUUCGGGGUGUAAAGUACUUUCAGCGAUGAGGCGUUACUCGCAGAAGAAGCACCGGCUAACUCCGUGCCAGCAGCCGCGGUAAUUC